Molecule: long non-coding RNA, 278 nt
Filed under: Elaeis guineensis (African oil palm)
Lineage: Eukaryota; Viridiplantae; Streptophyta; Magnoliopsida; Arecales; Arecaceae
Description: long non-coding RNA (EGUI_LNC044993)
Source: RNAcentral
UCUCUAGUCAAAUUCAAUAACUUAGUGAAGUCAGUGGGAUGAUUUUUGAUUACUGAUUGAUCUCUUCUCUUUUCUAAAAUAUAUUAAUCAAAUCUUCUAAAUUAUUAGAUCCAUAAAAUGAGCUAGUUAUGGAGAUAACUAGAUCAUAGCCUUCCAUUUAGUUGGAUGAUAAUAGGUCCAUUAGUCUGAUAAUCAUUGGAGGCCCAAAGGCUUGAUGCUUAUAUACAAUUAAAAUUAUCAUUCAUAAUAUGAUAACUCAAUCGUGUCUCUCUGGUGGG